CCCUUAGAUGUUCUGGGCCGCACGCGUGCUACACUGAGUGGAUCAGCGGGUCAGGUUGCGCGAAAGUGUUUCCUAAUCUUGAAAUCCGCUCGUGAUGGGGAUUGACGGUUGCAAUUUUCCGUCAUGAACGAGGAAUACCUUGUAAGCGCGGGUCAUCAUCCCGCGCUGAAUACGUCCCUGCCCUUUGUACACACCGCCCGUCGCUCCUACCGAUUGAGUGGUCCGGUGAGGCUUUGGGAUCUGAGUAAAAAGAGCGUUUCGCUCGUUUGGCUCGGAAAACUCAGUCGAACCUUAUCAUUUAGAGGAAGGAGAAGUCGUAACA
RNAcentral lists this ribosomal RNA (322 nucleotides) under uncultured eukaryote. Its description in RNAcentral is "partial 18S ribosomal RNA". It matches the Rfam family "Eukaryotic small subunit ribosomal RNA", at positions 1470 to 1796 of the family's 1831-position model. The record is from RNAcentral.